AUUGAACGCUGGCGGCAUGCUUUACACAUGCAAGUCGAACGGGCUGGGGGCAACUCCAGUCAGUGGCGAACGGGUGAGUAAUGCAUCGGAACGUGUCCCGUAGUGGGGGAUAACCCGGCGAAAGCCGGACUAAUACCGCAUAUGCUCUACGGAGGAAAGUGGGGGACCGCAAGGCCUCACGCUAUGGGAGCGGCCGAUGUCCGAUUAGCUUGUUGGUGGGGUAAUGGCCUACCAAGGCGACGAUCGGUAGCUGGUCUGAGAGGAUGAUCAGCCACACUGGGACUGAGACACGGCCCAGACUCCUACGGGAGGCAGCAGUGGGGAAUUUUGGACAAUGGGGCAACCCUGACCCAGCCAUGCCGCGUGCGGGAAGAAGG
RNAcentral lists this ribosomal RNA (377 nucleotides) under uncultured bacterium. Its description in RNAcentral is "bacterial SSU rRNA". It matches the Rfam family "Bacterial small subunit ribosomal RNA", at positions 29 to 414 of the family's 1533-position model. The record is from RNAcentral.